GACGAACGCUGGCGGCGUGCUUAACACAUGCAAGUCGAACGGACAGGCCCUGCUUGCUGGGUACUCGAGUGGCGAACGGGUGAGUAACACGUGGGUGAUCUGCCCUGCACUUCGGGAUAAGCCUGGGAAACUGGGUUUACUACCGGUUAGAGGCAAUUUUUCUGGAGAUGGUUGGACAGUUUUUUAGGUGUAGGAUGAGCUCGCGGCCUAUCAGCUCGUUGAUGGGGUAAUGGCCUACCAAGGCGGCGACGGGUAGCCGGCCUGAGAGGGUGCCCGGCCACAAUGGGACUGAGGAACGGCGCAGACGCCUACGGGAGGCAGCAGUAGUGAAGAAUGCACAAUGGGGGCAAGACGGAUGCAGCGACGCCGCGUGGGGGAUGACGGACUUCGGGGUGUAAUCUCCUUUCGCUAGGGACGAAGCAUAUUGUGACGGUACCUAGAUAAGAAGCACCGGCUAACUACGUG
Molecule: ribosomal RNA, 465 nt
Filed under: uncultured bacterium
Lineage: Bacteria
Description: partial 16S ribosomal RNA
Rfam family: Bacterial small subunit ribosomal RNA
Source: RNAcentral